RNAcentral lists this ribosomal RNA (995 nucleotides) under uncultured bacterium. RNAcentral's name for it is "bacterial SSU rRNA". It matches the Rfam family "Bacterial small subunit ribosomal RNA", at positions 355 to 1375 of the family's 1533-position model. The record is from RNAcentral.
UGGGGAAUAUUGCACAAUGGGGGAAACCCUGAUGCAGCGACGCCGCGUGGAGGAAGAAGGUCUUCGGAUUGUAAACUCCUGUUGUUGAGGAAGAUAAUGACGGUACUCAACAAGGAAGUGACGGCUAACUACGUGCCAGCAGCCGCGGUAAAACGUAGGUCACAAGCGUUGUCCGGAAUUACUGGGUGUAAAGGGAGCGCAGGCGGGAAGACAAGUUGGAAGUGAAAUCUAUGGGCUCAACCCAUAAACUGCUUUCAAAACUGUUUUUCUUGAGUAGUGCAGAGGUAGGCGGAAUUCCCGGUGUAGCGGUGGAAUGCGUAGAUAUCGGGAGGAACACCAGUGGCGAAGGCGGCCUACUGGGCACCAACUGACGCUGAGGCUCGAAAGUGUGGGUAGCAAACAGGAUUAGAUACCCUGGUAGUCCACACCGUAAACGAUGAUUACUAGGUGUUGGAGGAUUGACCCCUUCAGUGCCGCAGUUAACACAAUAAGUAAUCCACCUGGGGAGUACGACCGCAAGGUUGAAACUCAAAGGAAUUGACGGGGGCCCGCACAAGCAGUGGAGUAUGUGGUUUAAUUCGACGCAACGCGAAGAACCUUACCAAGUCUUGACAUCCUGCGACGCACAUAGAAAUACGUUUUCUCUUCGGAGCAGAGAGACAGGUGGUGCAUGGUUGUCGUCAGCUCGUGUCGUGAGAUGUUGGGUUAAGUCCCGCAACGAGCGCAACCCUUAUGGUCAGUUACUACGCAAGAGGACUCUGGCCAGACUGCCGUUGACAAAACGGAGGAAGGUGGGGAUGACGUCAAAUCAUCAUGCCCUUUAUGACUUGGGCUACACACGUACUACAAUGGCGUUAAACAAAGAGAAGCAAGACCGCGAGGUGGAGCAAAACUCAGAAACAACGUCCCAGUUCGGACUGCAGGCUGCAACUCGCCUGCACGAAGUCGGAAUUGCUAGUAAUCGUGGAUCAGCAUGCCACGGUGAAUACGUUCCC